UGGUACUUGUACCGACUGGAUGAGCAGCGAACGGGUGAGUAACGCGUGGGGAAUCUGCCUUUGAGCGGGGGACAACAUUUGGAAACGAAUGCUAAUACCGCAUAAAAACUUUAAACACAAGUUUUAAGUUUGAAAGAUGCAAUUGCAUCACUCAAAGAUGAUCCCGCGUUGUAUUAGCUAGUUGGUGAGGUAAAGGCUCACCAAGGCGAUGAUACAUAGCCGACCUGAGAGGGUGAUCGGCCACAUUG
This 248-nucleotide ribosomal RNA is filed under the name Lactococcus lactis. RNAcentral describes it as "partial 16S ribosomal RNA". It matches the Rfam family "Bacterial small subunit ribosomal RNA", at positions 74 to 315 of the family's 1533-position model. Lineage: Bacteria; Bacillati; Bacillota; Bacilli; Lactobacillales; Streptococcaceae. The record is from RNAcentral.